RNAcentral lists this ribosomal RNA (407 nucleotides) under uncultured bacterium. Its description in RNAcentral is "partial 16S ribosomal RNA". It matches the Rfam family "Bacterial small subunit ribosomal RNA", at positions 30 to 526 of the family's 1533-position model. The record is from RNAcentral.
AUUGAACGCUAGCGGGAUGCCUUACACAUGCAAGUCGAACGGAGUGGGGAACGGGUGAGUAAUGUAUCGGUACGUGCCCAGUAGCGGGGGAUGAGUACGCCAAAGCGUAGCUAAUACCGCAUACUAUUGGCUUGGCCGAUAGCGGGUUAGUUGGUGGGUGGGGUAAUGGCUCACCAAGGCGACGACCCGUAGCUGGUUUGAGAGGACGACUAGCCACACUGGAACUGAGACACGGCCCAGACUCCUACGGGAGGCAGCAGUGGGGAAUAUUGGACAAGGGGGGAAACCCUGAUGCAGCCAUCCCGCGUGUGCGAUGAAGGCCUUCGGGUUGUAAAGCACUUUUGGCAGGAAGGCGGUACCUGCAGAAGAAGCACCGGCUAACUACGUGCCAGCAGCCGCGGUAAUUC